Molecule: ribosomal RNA, 440 nt
Filed under: uncultured bacterium
Lineage: Bacteria
Description: bacterial SSU rRNA
Rfam family: Bacterial small subunit ribosomal RNA
Source: RNAcentral
CCUACGGGAGGCACCAGUGGGGAAUAUUGGACAAUGGGCGAAAGCCUGAUCCAGCAAUGCCGCGUGUGUGGAGAAGGUCUUCGGAUUGCAAAGCACUUUCGACGGGGACGAUGAUGACGGUACCCGUAGAAGAAGCCCCGGCUAACUUCGUGCCAGCAGCCGCGGUAAUACGAAGGGGGCUAGCGUUGCUCGGAAUGACUGGGCGUAAAGGGCGCGUAGGCGGUUUAUGCAGUCAGAUGUGAAAUUCCCGGGCUUAACCUGGGAACUGCAUUUGAGACGCAUAGACUAGAGGUCGAGAGAGGGUUGUGGAAUUCCCUGUGUAGAGGUGAAAUUCGUAGACAUUGGGAAGAACACCGGUGGCGAAGGCGGCAACCUGGCUCGAUACUGACGCUGAGGCGCGUAAGCGUGGGGAGCAAACAGGAUUAGAUACCCGAGUAGUC